GCCUUUUUCUCUUCAAGGAUGCGAGAUGUGUUGUGGGUCUUAUGGAUGGUGGCCGGUUAGAUCUGGCUCUUUCUUCCCUCGACGGCGGUGGCCGCCGAUGAGAGCUCAGAUCCAGGAGCUGGGGCUUGGGGCGAGCCUCGAUCGAUGGGUGACCGCCGAUGGCUUCAUCCUGUCUCUCGAGACGGGUGUCUAUUUCAACUCCUUUCAAAGGCAACGUACGAUAGGGCUCUUCUCAUUCACGGUGAUGCUCGAGGUCUUAAGGGUUUGAUUGUAAUAUUUAUGUUUUCUAGGGUUCUUUGUGAGGUUCGAUUGGGAGAAGUGCCUCUGUAUCUUUGCUGUGUGUUUCUGUAUUUGUAUACCUGUAUGUUCUCCUCAAGUAGAAAUACAAAACAUAUUAUUAUAAAAAAAUAAAAAAAUUAACCAUGCUAUCCGGAUGUGCGCUCCUACAGAGGAGAGAGCCAGAGACAAUGCAAAGGAUUGCACGCGGGAACCAUCUCAUCAAAAUCAAAACAACAUGUUAUCUACCAGAAUCGAAGCUCAUCCGACACCUAUCGCAUCAAGUGGUGGCAAAGCUUAUUACAUAUUGUUUGGCCCGGCCUGUCCUAAUUGGGAUUUUUUCUAUGCAGCGAGGGUGCUACUAGGGUACCAAUAUAAUAUUCACACCGAGGAGCUAUUUUGGCAAAUAAAUUCACCAAAACAACUACAGCUUUAAGAACUUAACUCUUUGUCUUUCGAGUUCAAACCAAUGUAAUUCUUGAAUUUGUUGGGCAACAAGGCCAUGAAAGCAUUGUAAUUGCAGGUGGGGAUCCUCUUCCUAUAGCAUCAUAUAUAUAUACACCUAAUAUUAAAGGGUGACUCCUCUAAAUUUUUGUCCUUCACUCUUCGGUCUAUCAAUCCCUCACUCUCCAGAGCAUAAGAGUCCUCAUUGGUUUUACAAUAAGUAAUCUAUUGUAUGAUGAAUUAGUGAUAGGGUGUCUCAAUUGAUCUGCUAUUAGGGCCUAUUCGGAUCCAUUAAUCCUAAACUAAACUUUAGCCCCUACCUAGUUUGGAU
Molecule: long non-coding RNA, 1051 nt
Filed under: Sorghum bicolor (sorghum)
Lineage: Eukaryota; Viridiplantae; Streptophyta; Magnoliopsida; Poales; Poaceae
Description: long non-coding RNA (SBIC_LNC011382)
Source: RNAcentral